Molecule: transfer RNA, 74 nt
Filed under: Gemmatimonadota bacterium
Lineage: Bacteria; Pseudomonadati; Gemmatimonadota
Also listed under: 2 other names
Description: Gemmatimonadetes bacterium tRNA-Pro
Rfam family: tRNA
About the family: Transfer RNA (tRNA) molecules are approximately 80 nucleotides in length. Their secondary structure includes four short double-helical elements and three loops (D, anti-codon, and T loops).
Source: RNAcentral
CGGGGCGUAGCGCAGCCCGGUAGCGCGUCUGGUUUGGGACCAGAAGGUCCCGGGUUCAAAUCCCGGCGCCCCGA